Molecule: long non-coding RNA, 780 nt
Organism: Paramisgurnus dabryanus
Lineage: Eukaryota; Metazoa; Chordata; Actinopteri; Cypriniformes; Cobitidae
Source: RefSeq, a predicted model, not a curated record
AUUUCCCAACAGCUAGAAGACGUACACAUUAAAGACCAGUAUGAAGCGAACACGGACGGACUUUAAGAUAACUUUUUAAGAGAUUUCAGAUCUGUUAUGUAAAGAUGUAAGACAAACAACUACAGCAAGAAUGAAAAGCUGCUCAGAGCCAACGACAACAUUUUUUACAAGAUAUGCAGCUUUACGACAGAGGUCCCAGUUCAAUGCAAAGAUGACACUGACAAAAUUUCUACUCCCUGUCAGGAUGACUCAUUCGGUUUUAAUGGCAUUGUGGUCUUUGACGAUAAGUCUUACCCCUUAAGGAGGUGCACUCCAUUUGUGAAUUGGUCAGAAAAUUACAGGUCCAGUGUCAAGAUGAUCCGUGUGGUAGUGAAUGGGAAAAUAUCCUGAUAUAUACCACAUACACAUCUCAAGAAUCUCCUUGGCAGUGAAAUGCUUUGAGGAGAUUGAAUGUUUUCCGGAAUUGGACAACUCAUUUGGACCCAAUUAUGGCUGAGGAUGGAACAGGUCUUAGCCCUUAAAGAGAGAUGGUCCUCAUGAGGAAGAGAAGAAAUAAAAAACCCUCUAAAGAUGAAAUCCCAUAAUGUCAUUCUAUGACAUUCUUUGGUUUAACAAUAAAGCUAAUAAAUACAUUUGUUGUAGCCUACUUUGUUGUAUUUUGUGUGCAAAUGCAUUAUCACAUGCACAUUAUUAAAAUCUUUUGCAUCUUUAAGAAGUGUUUAUAGCAUACAGCACUUUUACAGAGAUUAACCAAAACCAGUUUAUACAAGACAUCAAAGC